Molecule: ribosomal RNA, 471 nt
Filed under: uncultured bacterium
Lineage: Bacteria
Description: bacterial SSU rRNA
Rfam family: Bacterial small subunit ribosomal RNA
Source: RNAcentral
UGGGGAAUAUUGGACAAUGGGCGCAAGCCUGAUCCAGCCAUGCCGCGUGUGUGAAGAAGGCCUUCGGGUUGUAAAGCACUUUCAGCGAGGAGGAAGGGAGUUGUGUUAAUAGCACAGCUUCUUGACGUUACUCGCAGAAGAAGCACCGGCUAACUCUGUGCCAGCAGCCGCGGUAAUACAGAGGGUGCAAGCGUUAAUCGGAAUUACUGGGCGUAAAGCGCACGUAGGCGGUUUUUAAGUCAGAUGUGAAAGCCCCGGGCUCAACCUGGGAAUUGCAUUUGAAACUGGAAAACUAGAGUGUGUGAGAGGGGGGUAGAAUUCCAAGUGUAGCGGUGAAAUGCGUAGAGAUUUGGAGGAAUACCAGUGGCGAAGGCGGCCCCCUGGCACAACACUGACGCUGAGGCGCGAAAGUGUGGGUAUCAAACAGGAUUAGAUACCCCCGUAGUCCCUGAGCGGGCUGGCAAGGCGCAU